Molecule: transfer RNA, 76 nt
Filed under: Alphaproteobacteria bacterium
Lineage: Bacteria; Pseudomonadati; Pseudomonadota; Alphaproteobacteria
Description: tRNA-Val
Rfam family: tRNA
About the family: Transfer RNA (tRNA) molecules are approximately 80 nucleotides in length. Their secondary structure includes four short double-helical elements and three loops (D, anti-codon, and T loops).
Source: RNAcentral
GGGCGGUUAGCUCAGUUGGUAGAGCGUCUCGUUUACACCGAGAGUGUCAUAGGUUCGAGUCCUGUACCGCCUACCA